RNAcentral lists this ribosomal RNA (824 nucleotides) under Chytridiomycota sp. LTSE6_1 PML-2011o. RNAcentral's name for it is "eukaryotic LSU rRNA". It matches the Rfam family "Eukaryotic large subunit ribosomal RNA", at positions 107 to 858 of the family's 3401-position model. Lineage: Eukaryota; Fungi; Chytridiomycota. The record is from RNAcentral.
GCUCAAAUUUGGAAUCUCCAAGUGUCUCACUUGGCGAAUUGUAGUUUGGAGAAACGUUUUCGGGGGCAGGCUGGGUCCAAGUUCUUUGGAACAAGACAUCAUAGAGGGUGAGAAUCCCGUCUUUGAUCCAGACUCUGCUUCCAUGUGAUACGUUUUCAAAGAGUCGGUUUGUUUGGGAAUGCAGACCAAAAUGGGUGGUAAAUACCAUCUAAAGCUAAAUAUUGGCGAGAGACCGAUAGCGAACAAGUACCGUGAGGAAAAGAUGAAAAGAACUUUGAAAAGAGAGUUAAACAGUACGUGAAAUUGUCAAAAGGGAAACGCUUGAAACCAGUAUUGCUUGCUAGGAUUCAGCCGGCUCUUAGCUGGUGCAUUUCCUAGUGUAGCGAGUCAACAUCAGUUUGGCUUGGAGUAAAAAGCCAAGGGAAUGUAGCUUACCCUCGGGUAGGUGUUAUAGCCUUUGGUCAUGCUCUGGGCCGGACUGAGGAAUGCAGCGUUUUUUGGGGAGCCUGUCGCCCUUUGUGACAUCGUGCCCGACUGCAUGCAGACGUGUGUGAAUGUUCGCAGAGGUACGGCGGGGGUACCACACCAACGCUUUGGAUGUUGACGAAAUGGUUUUAAACGACCCGUCUUGAAACACGGACCAAGGAGUCCAACAAAUAUGCGAGUAUUUGGGUGGCAAACCCUGAUGCGUAAUGAAAGUGAAAAGGUGGGAUCUACGGUGCACCAUCGACCGGGCCGGAUUAUUACUAUCCUGGUCUGAGUAUGAGCAUAUUUGCUGGGACCCGAAAGAUGGUGAACUAUGCCUGAUAGGGUGAAGCCAGAGG